GACGUAGGGCGCGAGCGUUGUCCGGAAUUAUUGGGCGUAAAGAGCUCGUAGGCGGCUUGUUGCGUCGACUGUGAAAACCCGCGGCUCAACCGUGUGGCUUGCAGUCGAUACGGGCAGGCUAGAGUUCGGUAGGGGAGACUGGAAUUCCUGGUGUAGCGGUGAAAUGCGCAGAUAUCAGGAGGAACACCGGUGGCGAAGGCGGCUCUCUGGGACGGUACUGACGCUGAGACGCGAAAGCGUGGGGAGCGAACAGG
This 254-nucleotide ribosomal RNA is filed under the name uncultured bacterium. RNAcentral describes it as "partial 16S ribosomal RNA". It matches the Rfam family "Bacterial small subunit ribosomal RNA", at positions 524 to 776 of the family's 1533-position model. The record is from RNAcentral.